UUCAGUCGAUUCUUGAAACCAUUACCUUUUCUGAAGCAAGACUAGCUAGCACCCAAGGUGCCCUGGCAGGUGUAGGUUUAUCCAUUGGCUACCCGUUGGAGCAUCACUUGCGGUGCUCUUUGUAAUGUCACUUGGUGGGUUUUGUAGAAGUGACUGUCUAGAGACGUUUUAUCUUGAUAAUUGACAACAUAAGAGUGCAAAAUAUUUGACAGCAGAUCGCUUAUGGGGUCAUCAAGGAAACUCAAUAGAUGGCUAUUUCAGUGGAGAUUAUUCCAGAGAUGUUGUUUUGAAAGUAUAUGCCAGGAGAGAAAGAUAUACUUGAAACCCGAUGAGGUCAAUGAUGUGGAGAUUUUACCAGAGAUGUUGUUUUCAAGUAAGAUUUUGUGUGGGAUUAUACCG
This is a long non-coding RNA of Triticum dicoccoides, 399 nucleotides long. RefSeq lists it as uncharacterized. NCBI's taxonomy places the organism in Eukaryota, Viridiplantae, Streptophyta, Magnoliopsida, Poales, Poaceae. The record is from RefSeq and is a predicted model, not a curated record. The transcript is spliced from 3 exons.